This 76-nucleotide transfer RNA is filed under the name Rhodobiaceae bacterium. RNAcentral describes it as "tRNA-Thr". It matches the Rfam family "tRNA". Rfam says of the family: Transfer RNA (tRNA) molecules are approximately 80 nucleotides in length. Lineage: Bacteria; Pseudomonadati; Pseudomonadota; Alphaproteobacteria; Hyphomicrobiales; Rhodobiaceae. The record is from RNAcentral.
GCCGGUUUAGCUCAGUUGGUAGAGCACAUCAUUCGUAAUGAUGGGGUCGCGUGUUCGAGUCACGCAACCGGCACCA